UCGGAUGCUCCGACUGCUGCAGCUGAUCAGCCAUGCCGCGUGCUAGUGAAGAAGGCCUUCGGGUUGUAAAGCGCUUUCGGUCGGGAGGAAGCGGUUUGUGUUAAUACCCCUCAGCGUUGACGGUACCUACAUAAUAAGCACCAGCUAACUCUGUGCCAGCAGCCGCGGUAAUAGG
This 175-nucleotide ribosomal RNA is filed under the name uncultured bacterium. Its description in RNAcentral is "partial 16S ribosomal RNA". It matches the Rfam family "Bacterial small subunit ribosomal RNA", at positions 356 to 527 of the family's 1533-position model. The record is from RNAcentral.